Molecule: long non-coding RNA, 1066 nt
Filed under: Triticum aestivum (bread wheat)
Lineage: Eukaryota; Viridiplantae; Streptophyta; Magnoliopsida; Poales; Poaceae
Description: long non-coding RNA (TAES_LNC015670)
Source: RNAcentral
ACCGAUUCACCAGCCGAGGGGUCUCUAAGCCGGUGUAAAUACAGUUCGAGGUCAUUACAAGAUCUGGGAUUCGCACAACGCAGCUGCUUUUUCGGUCUGAGAAUGACCUUUCACUUGUAACUGUCAAGGUCAUUACUAAUGUCACUAUACACAGCCAAUUGAUUAACUAUAUACAUUAUGCAUACACAAAAAAUGAUUAAUAGGAUAUUGUUCUUUGCCAAUAGAGAAACUAACAGGAACAAGUUGCCCAAUCUAUCAAUCACUGCAUCUUUCAUGGCUUGCUCUUUUCCUUGUGCUUCCUUCGUCGAUCACUCACUGCAAAAUUAGGACACGUUAACUGAAAACCAUGUACGCCGAGCCCGUCUGGACUCCUUUCCAUGUGUUUCCUAAAAUUAUCUGAAUCUCACUGCAAUACAAAAUGAGUUUGCGUGUUAGUAUGAAGUGACUCUAUUAACUAUAUUGUCUGUUCAAAUAUUAAUAGCAUUGUCUGUCAUACCAAACCAAAGUUUCAGAAUUCAAAAGAACCUGCACCAAAACCUGAGCACAAUCACCCCUUAGCCCAAUUUUUCCAAAACUUGAGCAUAAUCACACACAAAGAACACGGAAAAUUUAGUCUGACCACAAGUAAUAUCCAUUCAUUUUGGCUAUUUGCAUCAAAUUGGGAACCAAUCAAUGUAUCAAAAAAGUGAAACCUGAUGAAGCAUCAAGGAAAUCAGCAGACCGUCAUGCACGACCUGAAUUAUUACACCGUCCACAUCGGUCAAAUUAGUAUAACAACCUGAAUUAGUAUUUGAAAAGAAUGAAUCAUGAAAGAAGUGGAGACAAGAAACCAUGAAAGGGUACCAACACAGAUGGAGCACAAGGGGCGAGAGUAUGGGAGGCAUGUCAUCCAAGAAAAUCUCUAUAAUGGUGGGAUGACGUAGAGGACAAAGAAAUAACAUGUGGCUCCACUCCUUCCUCUUCUCUUACUCUAGCCCCCUCUUUUCCAUCCCUCUUUCAAACACACGUGUUGUCCUCUCCAGAGCAGUCCUCCUUGAGCAUUUAUACAAACAGCUGGUGGUCGCAU